Molecule: non-coding RNA, 365 nt
Organism: Drosophila suzukii
Lineage: Eukaryota; Metazoa; Arthropoda; Insecta; Diptera; Drosophilidae
Source: RefSeq, a predicted model, not a curated record
GCAGUUUGUCCUGUAUUACCUUUUUUUUUCUCGCAUGAGUUCUAUGCCGUCAAAAGUCGAAUUCUUUAAUCUGUCGAAUCGAGAUAGACCACAAGAACAUGACGCCCACGAAGGGCCAGAGGAAGCGCAAGAGGAAUUUAAAGUCUAUUAAAUGGACCCUAAUGCCUGUAGAAGAUCCAGAACUCUUAACUCCUUUCGUCCUGUGACCCGAUCUUAGAACCUUCGCCCGACAUGUUAUGUCUGCAGGGUGUCGUUUUGAACUUCAGAAAGCGGGGGAACCCUGGAUCUAUGGCAUCAGAGUGGGAAGAUGACCCCAUCUUUCCACCCAAACCGCCCAUUUGGAUGAACUAUAUGAAUUUGUACGA